CAUUACUGGUGGUGCGUUGUUGAG
This 24-nucleotide non-coding RNA is filed under the name Arabidopsis thaliana (thale cress). The record is from RNAcentral. Lineage: Eukaryota; Viridiplantae; Streptophyta; Magnoliopsida; Brassicales; Brassicaceae.